CUCCAUAACUCAGACCCACAACU
This 23-nucleotide non-coding RNA is filed under the name Cricetulus griseus (Chinese hamster). Lineage: Eukaryota; Metazoa; Chordata; Mammalia; Rodentia; Cricetidae. The record is from RNAcentral.